GCCUACAGCCAUGCCACCCUGAACAAGCCCGAUCCAGUCUGAUCUCAGAAGCUAAGCAGGGUCGGGCCUGGUUAGUACUUGGAUGGGAGACCACCUAGGAAGAUCAGGUGCUGUAGACA
This 119-nucleotide ribosomal RNA is filed under the name Pteropus alecto (black flying fox). Lineage: Eukaryota; Metazoa; Chordata; Mammalia; Chiroptera; Pteropodidae. The record is from RNAcentral.